This 498-nucleotide ribosomal RNA is filed under the name uncultured bacterium. RNAcentral describes it as "bacterial SSU rRNA". It matches the Rfam family "Bacterial small subunit ribosomal RNA", at positions 29 to 507 of the family's 1533-position model. The record is from RNAcentral.
AACGAACGCUGGCGGCGUGCCUAACACAUGCAAGUCGAACGUGAAAGUACUUCGGUAUGGAGUAAAGUGGCGCACGGGUGAGUAACACGUAGGUGACCUGCCUUUUAGAGGGAAUAACCAGAUGAAAAUUUGGCUAAUGCCGCAUACGAAGAACAAAUAUAAUAGUAGUUCUUGAAAGGAUGCCUCUGUAUAUGCAUCCACUAAAAGAUGGGCCUGCGGAACAUUAGCUAGUUGGUGGGGUAAAGGCCUACCAAGGCAACGAUGUUUAUCCGGUCUGAGAGGAUGAUCGGACACACUGGAACUGAGACACGGUCCAGACUCCUACGGGAGGCAGCAGUGGGGAAUAUUGCGCAAUGGGGGAAACCCUGACGCAGCAACGCCGCGUGAGUGAGGAAGGACUUCGGUCUGUAAAGCUCUGUUAAUGAGGAAAAAUGGUAGUUGGUCUAAUAGGCCGAUUAUUUGAUGGUACUCAUAGAGGAAGCACCGGCUAACUUCGUG